Molecule: long non-coding RNA, 414 nt
Filed under: Olea europaea (common olive)
Lineage: Eukaryota; Viridiplantae; Streptophyta; Magnoliopsida; Lamiales; Oleaceae
Description: long non-coding RNA (OEUR_LNC002574)
Source: RNAcentral
CAAAUUUUCCCAGUAAUCGCUUAUGUAGGAACUCUUGAAUUCUUUGUCACAAAUCAUAGUCAUAACUCACAAAUAAUAAAUCAAAAAAUGAAUUAAAAGAACAAAAACAAAAAACAACAAAAAAAUCUUGACCAGAGGCUCGCUGUCAUGAGUCAUUGAGAUCGGAGAUGCUCGAUGUUGGCUAUGACUCAACGGUAGACGACAGUAGGUAAGGGCAAAACAACAAAAAAAUCUUGACCAGAGGCUCGCUGUCAUGAGUCAUUGAGAUCGGAGAUGCUCGAUGUUGGCUAUGACUCAACGGUAGACGACGGUAGGUAAGGGCAAGGGGCUAAGUGACCACUGGUGAGUGCACAUGCAACGGGAGGGAGAAAGUUCAGUAGGGUUUGCCUUUCGUGAAUUUGAAAUUGGUUAGGU